AUGGAUCGAACUACACACAUGGAUGAAAAUGGGAGUGCGCCUCUCCGUUUUGCUGCAGCUCUGCUACAACAAAGUCCGCGGGGAAGUGUAUGUUGGCAAGUAUUGGAAGCUAACUCAGCUGCAUUGUAUCAAUCAGACUGCAUGGGAUUAUUUCCAAUACACGUUGCUGCUUCUGUUGGUGAAAGAGGGACAAUCACUAUGUUUCUUUAAAAGUCUCCGAGCAGCGGCGGUUUGCAGGACAGCAUGGGAAUGACAUUCCUUCAUGUAGCAGCUGAGAAAAAUAAUGUCAAGAUAGUCAGUUUUGUUUGCAAAAAUUGAUCACUCUCAUGGAUUCUGAAUAUGGAGGACAAUGAUGGGAAUACAGCACUACACCUAGCUAUUCAGGCAGGGAGCCUUCUAAUGUUUCGUGUUUUGUUAAGGAAUCAGAAAGUAAAUUUAAACAUAUCAAAUAAGAAAGGGCAAACAGCUCUAGAUGUAUCACGAUAUAAGAUUCCUCCAGGAUUGUUCAAUGAUCAGAAGAGUGGAACAAAGAUACACUUUGCACUCAAAGUUGUUAAUGCUAGGAGUGGUGGUUGUCGUCGGGAUCAUUUUGAAGAAAAGUACAAUCAGCAGUUGAAGCACAAUGAAAGAGAAGAACUAGAGAAGCUGAAAGUAUCAACACAAACACUAUGUAUUGGUGCAGUUCUAAUUGCAACUGUGACAUUUGGUGCUACUUUCGCCCUUCCUGGAGGUUACUGAGUUGAUGAACAUACUAACGGAGGCACACCAAUACUUGUCGGGAGGUAUGCCUUUGAUGCAUUCAUAAUAGCCAGCACGUUCUCCUUCAUCUUGUUUGCCAUGUCUAUGGUAGGUCUCAUAUAUUCUGGAUACCCUAUUUUUAACCCACACAGUCGCAGAAUUUACCUACUCGUAGCCUUGUAUUUUGGGUCAACAUCUAUCACAUGCUUCACAACGGCUUUUGCAGUAGGUUUGAACAUGGUGCUAGCACCGGUUGCUCACAAGUCUGGCAUUGGUAUCUGUGUUGUUAGCUCUCUCGUUGUUCUUUGCAACAAAACCGAAUUCUGGCUAAGGUGGGCUCUUCUGGCACAACCAUUAUGUAUUCGAAUUGGGCUAAUUCGCACACUGGUUAUGGUAACAACGAGAAUCCUUCUCAACCUGGUUAUGGUAACAGUUCGCAGUCUCAAAUCCAUCAUCAUCCCAUGCACGCUCCCGAUUUAG
Molecule: ribosomal RNA, 1218 nt
Filed under: Triticum aestivum (bread wheat)
Lineage: Eukaryota; Viridiplantae; Streptophyta; Magnoliopsida; Poales; Poaceae
Description: partial small subunit ribosomal RNA
Source: RNAcentral